UACUAAAUCUAAAAAUUAAAAGGGCCACCCACUUCUCAAGUUGCCCUCCAGCCGAGAGAAUUCGGCAGCCGCUGAAGCUGCCCUCCAGCCAAGACCUAUCUUCCUCUGCCACUCUCAAUCCUCGCAGGGCCACCCACUUCUCAAGUUGCCCUCCAGCCGAGAGAAUUCGGCAGCCGCUGAAGCUGCCCUCCAGCCAAGACCUAUCUUCCUCUGCCACUCUCAAUCCUCGCAGAUUUUGUAUCCUGUGCGCGGGCUGGACUGGUAGGAAAAUAUUGGGAAAUUUUCCGAUAAAUCGGUAUUUCGCCGAUAUUUCGCCGAUAUAUCGGAGAUUUUGCCGAUUUUUUGUCGAUUUUUCCGUCGAUCGAUAAUCGGUGACGAUUAUCGUUUCGGCGCUGUCCGAUAUCCGAUAUUUCUUCGAAAUAUCGGCGACAUUUUCCGAUUUUUCAAUCCCUGCUCCGGUCCAGCCGGGAACAUAAUACAUAUCUCCAGAAAGAUCUGCGCCUCUCAUUUCAAUGUUGACCGCUUUU
Molecule: long non-coding RNA, 527 nt
Organism: Vitis vinifera (wine grape)
Lineage: Eukaryota; Viridiplantae; Streptophyta; Magnoliopsida; Vitales; Vitaceae
Exons: 3
Source: RefSeq, a predicted model, not a curated record